This 87-nucleotide transfer RNA is filed under the name Latescibacteria bacterium DG_63. RNAcentral's name for it is "tRNA-Leu". It matches the Rfam family "tRNA". Rfam says of the family: Transfer RNA (tRNA) molecules are approximately 80 nucleotides in length. Their secondary structure includes four short double-helical elements and three loops (D, anti-codon, and T loops). The record is from RNAcentral. Lineage: Bacteria; Pseudomonadati; Candidatus Latescibacterota.
GCGGAAGUGGCGGAAUUGGCAGACGCGCUGGGUUCAGGGUCCAGUGAGGGCAACCUCAUGGGGGUUCAAAUCCCCCCUUCCGCACCA